RNAcentral lists this ribosomal RNA (508 nucleotides) under uncultured bacterium. RNAcentral describes it as "partial 16S ribosomal RNA". It matches the Rfam family "Bacterial small subunit ribosomal RNA", at positions 28 to 523 of the family's 1533-position model. The record is from RNAcentral.
GAUGAACGCUAGCUACAGGCUUAACACAUGCAAGUCGAGGGGAAACGAGAUUGGAAGCUUGCUUCCGAUAGGCGUCGACCGGCGCACGGGUGAGUAACGCGUAUCCAACCUGCCCAUCACUUGGGGAUAACCUUGCGAAAGUAAGACCAAUACCCAAUGAUAUCUCUAGAAGACAUCUGAAGGAGAUUAAAGAUUCAUCGGUGAUGGAUGGGGAUGAGUCUGAUUAGCUUGUUGGCGGGGUAACGGUCCACCGAGGCGACGAUCAGUAGGGGGUCUGAGAGAAAGUGCCCACUGAUUGGAACUGAGACCCGAUCCAAACACCGGCGGUAGGAAACAGCAGGUAAGAUUGAUCAAGGGACGGGAAGCUCAACCAGCCAAGUAGCAUACAAGAUGAAGGCCCUAUAGUUCAUAAACUACUUUUAUAAAGCAAUAAAGUGAGUCUCGUGACGCUUUUUUCACGUACCUCAGGAAACAGGGCCGGCUAAUUCCGUGCCUCCCACCGCCUUAA